UAACAUGAUGUCAGGAUUUCCC
Molecule: microRNA, 22 nt
Filed under: Gallus gallus (chicken)
Lineage: Eukaryota; Metazoa; Chordata; Aves; Galliformes; Phasianidae
Description: gga-miR-1667-3p
Source: miRBase by way of RNAcentral